This is a long non-coding RNA of Salmo trutta (river trout), 2547 nucleotides long. NCBI's taxonomy places the organism in Eukaryota, Metazoa, Chordata, Actinopteri, Salmoniformes, Salmonidae. The record is from Ensembl.
GGAAUCAUGAUAGUAUAUUUAAAACCAAGUAUUUUUGGACUUUACUCAAGUUGUAUUUUACUGGGUGACUUUCACUUUCACUCAAGUAUGACAAUUGGGUAGUUUUUCCACCAGUGUGGAUAGUUGAAGCCUAUUAAUACAACAACUAGAGAAACAUCAAUCUGAUGAAAUUAUUUGUAUACAUCACAAUAGGUAUUUUUAUCAGACGAAUCAAGGCUGUACGUCCCAUGAACACAACUCUCUCCGCCCUCCUGAAGAUCGCAGUCAGCUGAUAAAGUGUUUUGAAGACAGAGGGUUUCCUGGUGAGCUCGCAACCCACAGCGGCAAACGAGAGGAGCGUCAUCACUCCCUUUAACUUCACUACACACGCGUGCAAAAAUGUGGACGGGGCUGAAAAACCAGACCAAAAUGAUGUUUAGCGAUGGAAACACCUCGGAGAGAGCUGUUCCAAUGCACACAUGGGUCUUCGCUACAUAUGAACAGCGCAAUGAGUCAACGGCCAUCCCUCGUCCCUCAUACACAGAAGACCCCCAGCCCAGAGGCAGUGGCAUCAUCCCAGGAGCCAUUGCAGCAGCAGUGUUCAUUGGUUUCGUACUGGGUCUCUAUGCAGUUCUGUGGAAGUGUAUGGUCUCACCACCCCAAAGGAAGAAGAGGAGGGUGAGGGUUAGAGACAAGAGGAGCCAAGUAUGCUGACUGACCAUCAGGAUCUCAUCUAGGCCAUCUGGCCAGAGGAUCCAAUGGAUUCAACUCAUGCAUCAAACCCCGGCCAGUCAAAUCCACUCAUACUGACUUGAGUCUCUCAUCAGGAUGUUCCUGAACAUCUGAGGGGAAAUUGAGAUUCAGAAACAUUUGCAUAGAGCUAGGGGAUGGCACAUUAUGGAUCUAGCAUAUCAUGGUCAGAGGAUGGACCGGUAUCUAAGGAUCCGGUCAAAUGGAUCUAAAAGGAUUUUCUAAAUUGCCUUAAGAGGAUCCACUCAAAUGGCUAAAGGAUCCAACUGAAGUGCAUCAGAGAGCAUGAACAAACAAUCUAAAUCAGUUAAGCUGGGGUCUGCAGACCCAUCAAAUGUAAAACAAAUUAUAUGUACAUUUAAAAAAAAAUUAUAAUAAUAAUCUAUUACUAACAGGUUAAACACAUUUUUGCAAGGGAUCUGUUGAAGUAGUUUAGAGUGUAAUACAAUAAAAUGUCAUAUUAUUAAUAUACAAUUUAUGUUCUUAAACCCUGGACAUAGUGGGCCUGGGAGGCUCACAGGGAUAUUGGCAUCUACAGUACUCCACCAAUUAUACAUUUUUCAGCUCAAUAACCCAAAGUGUGUGUGUGUGUGUGUGUGUGUGUGUUUUAAACUGAAGUUUUCUUUCUGCCUCAUGGGAAAAUGUGUAGAAUUGCAGAAUAUUUGCCCCAUGACAAAAUAUGUGGAAAUAUAGGAAAUGUCAAGAGGCUGGCCUUUUAAAAGGUUCCUUCCCAGGACCGAGCCUUGGUUCAUCCGGCCAUGCUCUGCCCAAGUCAUAGUAAAACACCUUGUAUGCUAUUUUUCUCACUCAAGUUGUUCUGAUUGAGGUCGUCCCUUAUAUAUUUGCUAUCACAAAAGGGGUCCCCGGGCCCCAAUAGUUUGAGAAAUCUAGGAUCCACUGUAUGCCACAGUGCUAUGCCUCCGUGAGAUGCUGACUUUAACUGAAGCGUAGCUACACUGUUAAGUGUACACUGUUGUGUCUGCGGGUCACUGACAGUUGACAGUGAACUCUCUGUACUACUGAGGAAGGAGGCAGCACAGGUCACUGUUCUUCCUAUCGGUCAACAAGCCUACUGGCCUGGCAAACAUGUGGGUAUGUUUUUUUUUUCUUCUCCGUUUGGGUGAAAGUGUGUGUGUGUGUGUGUGUGUGUGUGUGUGUGUGUAGCUUUUGAUUAGGGUUGACUACAUGUGUUGCAAAGGAAAGUGUCUAUGAAUGGGAAAUUUGCUAAUACUUUUUAUAUUGGGUUGUGCAUGUGAUAUGAUGGCUUUAGGUGAAUGAUUGAGCUGGAGUUUUUGUGUAUUUCAAAUUCUUUGAUUUGAGUGAAUGGUCUUAUGAUAUCCAUGUUUUGUCAUGUUACAUUUCCUCAGGAUGUGACUUACUGUUCCUUUUAUUAAACUGUGAUUUGUGUUCUUGCACUUUUACUGAGUUUUCCUUUUAUCAGAGUUAAAUCUGAAUUACUACUUAGUGUUGGGAUGAAUGUACAUUCACUGAUUAACAAACAAUGCAAAUUAUGUAACGGAAUACUAGGAAAGGAGAGGUUUUAAAAUGAAUCAGCUCUAUCAAAUACUAACACAUUGUGUUACUGGGAGGUCCUGAAGUCAUACAAAACUAGAUGAAUCUAAGGAAUUCAAGUCUUAAGUCCUUUGGGUUUUAUGUAAAUAAUAAACUUGUAAAAUGUUCAAACUGUCCUGUUGUAGUUUUAAUGGAGCGUGGCCCUCAACCACAAUGUCUAUAUUUGGUCUCUGCUGUGUUUAGCACAGUGGGUGCACGGUAUGAGAGGUUCCUGCAGGGCAGUGGGGGAUUCAUCGUGGUGUGGGG